GCCUUAUUUUACCAAUAUUUUUAGGUAAAUGCUCUCAAAAGCUUUGCAGUCACUUUUAUUCAAAUGAAACAAAAAAUGGCAUUAUCGCUUUCAAAAAGAAAAAGAGGGGAAAGGGGAAAAGAACAUGAAAAAGCAUAUAUUUGUUGCACCUUGAGACAUUCUUUCAUCACUGUGUUUGGACAAUGAGGAAAAGAAAAGAAGAAAUGGAAGUCGGAUAUUUCUUAGUUUCGAUAACUUGUGCACCACAUCGUCUAAAAGCCUAGACAUAAAACAAGAAAUGGCAGUUGGAUAUUUCUUAGUUUCGAUAACUUGUGUUCCACAUCGUCAAAAAGUCUAGACAUGAAAGAAGAAAUGGAAGUUGAAUAUUUCUUAGUUUCGAUAACUUGUGUUCCACAUCGUCAAAAAGUCUAGACACGAAACAAGAAAUGGAAGUUGAAUAUUUCUUAGUUUCGAUAACUUGUGUUCCACAUCAUCUAAAAGCCUAGACAUAAAACAAGUGUUCCAAGAGAAGACCCAAAAGAUCGACACCAAGGAAAAAUUACAGAACCAAGACCAAGUAAUCAUCGAUUGGGCUCGGAUCAACCAUUGUACCCGUCUAUACAAGGUGAUUAACUUACAAAACCACAGUCCCAAACUUGGCCCAGAGUCAGUCACUACAAUGGACCCAAGUCUCUCACAAAACCACAGAAAAUCCCUUUCAAAACCAACACCGAAGAAUCACCAAGAAUCCUCACACAUAAAACAGCCAGAAAACCAGAAGUUUUGAGGCUAAAAAAGAGGUUUCACAAAGAAGAAGAAAAGGGCAGAGACACACAAUCACGAGAGAGAGAGACUCAAAAGCUUCUCGAGGAAGCACACAAAGAGGCACAAAAAUAAUGACAUGGUU
Molecule: long non-coding RNA, 886 nt
Filed under: Olea europaea (common olive)
Lineage: Eukaryota; Viridiplantae; Streptophyta; Magnoliopsida; Lamiales; Oleaceae
Description: long non-coding RNA (OEUR_LNC001303)
Source: RNAcentral